Diabrotica virgifera virgifera (western corn rootworm) is the source of this 198-nucleotide long non-coding RNA. RefSeq lists it as uncharacterized. Lineage: Eukaryota; Metazoa; Arthropoda; Insecta; Coleoptera; Chrysomelidae. The transcript is spliced from 3 exons. The record is from RefSeq and is a predicted model, not a curated record.
GAAUAUCUUAUAUUGUAAUCAAGCAUGACCCAGUAUAUGUAAAUUAUUGGUAAUAUGUUCAGUAACUUAUACAAGAAUAAAAAGUAGACAUAUACUUUCAUCUCUUUGGUAGUUGUUUUGCUGUUCCAGAUCAUAUAUAGCUGAGGAAUAAAGGCCACAGAUUCUAGGUAUUCGCCAAAAGCAGAUAGUAUCUAAAAA